Gasterosteus aculeatus (three-spined stickleback) is the source of this 838-nucleotide long non-coding RNA. The record is from Ensembl. NCBI's taxonomy places the organism in Eukaryota, Metazoa, Chordata, Actinopteri, Perciformes, Gasterosteidae.
UGUGCAUUUUUCGUCUAAAGACUAAAUCAAAAAUAGCUGCCAAAAUGAACACUGGUCCACACCUUCCAGAACUCUGCAGCAGGCGAGUAUCCAGUUGCAGGCGGCCGGGGUCAGUCGAGGGCCGGCAGGCCGCCUUCUCACGCAAGCCAGCAGUUAUCCGUUGCGUCGGGGCCGACGACCUGCUGCCCAUCCUGUCUUUCGUGGCUCUGCGGUGCCAGUGUCCUCAGCUGGUGUCUGAAUGCGCCGCUCUGGAGGAGUUCAUUCACGAAGGCUAUUUGAUCGGAGAGGAAGGCUACUGUCUGACCUCCCUGCAGAGUGCCUUGGCCUACAUCGAGUCGUUGUGCACCGGAGGAGCUCCUCAUCCUGCGGACAACCCCUUCUGAGACAAGGCGGCUCAUCCCGACUCCCCCUCCCCCCCGAACCCUGCAGGCUGUGCGGGCGCGCGUCACCUGACCAGAGGGCCUCCUGGUGCUGUGCUCUUCUCACACUGCGAGGCCUUUUUGGGAGCCGGGUAGCACUGCACUGUUGCACGUCGUUCCCGGGAUCCGUCCCGGGAACCUCAGCGCUCGUCUUGCUCUUCUCCCCCGACGGGAAGAAGCCACACGAGCCGACGCCCCUUAUCGCUCUUCUUUUUUCUUUCUCAGUGUUCUAACCAAUUUGAAAGCGCCUCCAGCUGUGCGUGCGUGUGUUUUAAAGCUGGUGGCAAAAAAAUCCACCGAAAUACAAAAAUCAGAAUUCCUGCACUUUGGGUGUUGACGGCUCCAAUGGAGGAUCACUUUCAGUUUGCACAGAGACGCUGGCUGCAGACGGACUCGCCUCCAGAGAGCGACUAUAAGAU